RNAcentral lists this ribosomal RNA (448 nucleotides) under uncultured Planctomycetota bacterium. RNAcentral describes it as "bacterial SSU rRNA". It matches the Rfam family "Bacterial small subunit ribosomal RNA", at positions 217 to 656 of the family's 1533-position model. The record is from RNAcentral. Lineage: Bacteria; Pseudomonadati; Planctomycetota.
GCUUAGAGAGGGGUCAAUGUCCUAUCAGCUAGUUGGUAGGGUAAUGGCCUACCAAGGCUAAGACGGGUAGCCGGCCUGAGAGGGUGGUCGGCCACACUGGGACUGAGACACUGCCCAGACUCCUACGGGAGGCUGCAGUCGAGAAUCUUUCGCAAUGCCCGAAAGGGUGACGAAGCGACGCCGCGUGUGGGAAGAAGGCCUUCGGGUUGUAAACCACUGUCGGGAGUUAAGAAAUGCAAGGGUGUUAAUAGCAUCCUUGCUUGACUAAGGCUCCGGAGGAAGCCACGGCUAACUCUGUGCCAGCAGCCGCGGUAAUACAGAGGCGGCAAGCGUUGUUCGGAAUUAUUGGGCGUAAAGAGCACGUAGGCGGCUUUGUAAGUCAGUUGUGAAAGCCUUCUGCUCAACGGAAGAACAACAUCUGAUACUGCAAGGCUAGAGUGCGGAAGGG